GAUGAACGCUGGCGGCGUGCCUAAUACAUGCAAGUCGAGCGAACAGACGAGGAGCUUGCUCCUCUGACGUUAGCGGCGGACGGGUGAGUAACACGUGGAUAACCUACCUAUAAGACUGGGAUAACUUCGGGAAACCGGAGCUAAUACCGGAUAAUAUAUUGCACCGCAUGGUUCAAUAGUGAAAGUCGGUUUUGCUGUCACUUCUAGAUGGAUCCGCGCCGCAUUAGCUAGUUGGUAAGGUAACGGCUUACCAAGGCAACGAUGCGUAGCCGACCUGAGAGGGGGAUCGGCCACACGGGAACGUGAACGCGGUCCAGACUCCUACGGGAGGCAGCAGUAGGGAAUCUUCCGCAAUGGGCGAAAGCCUUACGGAGCAACGCCGCGUGAGUGAUGAAGGUCUUCGGAUCGUAAAACUCUGUUAUUAGUGAAGAACAAAUGUGUAAGUAGCUAUGCACGUCUUGACGGUACCUAAUCAGAAAGCCACGGCUAACUACGUG
Molecule: ribosomal RNA, 497 nt
Filed under: uncultured bacterium
Lineage: Bacteria
Description: partial 16S ribosomal RNA
Rfam family: Bacterial small subunit ribosomal RNA
Source: RNAcentral